This is a long non-coding RNA of Drosophila guanche, 657 nucleotides long. RefSeq lists it as uncharacterized. Lineage: Eukaryota; Metazoa; Arthropoda; Insecta; Diptera; Drosophilidae. The transcript is spliced from 3 exons. The record is from RefSeq and is a predicted model, not a curated record.
UUUUAUUUAAUUCUCGAGGUAAACUAGCAUUCCUUUUAUAUCACUGACUUCAGAUAAGAAUAUAGGUGACGGCUUGGCAGAUUCAUCUAAGGUACCUUCAGUUAUCAUGUGCAGUGCUUCGUUUUCGUCUUCAUUUCCGUUAUUUGGCGUGAAAGUUUUCCGCUUGUAAGCCGACUAGAAAGUACUUAUUAUGUGCUUCAAACUCAUUUCAAGCUAAAAAUACAAAUUAAUGGGAUGCCUUGGAAACUGCGCCAACUGUUUAUUCGACUGUUCCUGCUGCAAGUUCUCAAAAAUAAAUAUCAAGAAUAUACACAACACUGAAUGCUGCUUGGGAUUUCGAAAGAGGCAUAGCAGCAUUUGCUAUUUAUUUUGUUUAUAAUUUGCGGCGAUAAUGCGGCUUCAGCUGAUUCUUCCUCCUCGUUGUGUGGCACCGUGCACCGACUGGCACUCACUCCAGAUUGUUGCUUAUUAAUGCUAAGAAGUAAAGAAUUUUACUAUUUAUGUCCGCCUUCAGAUCAGUAUAAACCCAAAAAUUGAAUUGUUAUACUUAUUCCUUUGGAAAGGACGCGCGCCAGAAAGCGAGAUUUGAUUUACAAUUCAUGUAACUAAAUUAACGCAAAGUGCACCAUAAAUAGCACUUAAAUUCAAAACUUAAAA